CAAGAAACGAGGCCGCGUGCGCUCGCCCGCCCGGCCCCGCUCCUUACCUUGCCUAUUGCGCCGUUUGUUGCUUCCUGGCGGCGGACUGCCCGCCGCCAGGGACGUUGAUACAAUCCUGUAUAGAAGCAUUGAAGCUCUGAGAAAACGCGAAAUCGUA
Molecule: unclassified non-coding RNA, 157 nt
Filed under: soil metagenome
Description: partial internal transcribed spacer 1
Source: RNAcentral